GGGCCCGUGGCUUAGCUUGGCCAAAGCGUCUGACUGAUAAUCAGAAGAUCGUGAGUUCAAAUCUCACCGGGCCCACCA
RNAcentral lists this transfer RNA (78 nucleotides) under Candidatus Bathyarchaeota archaeon. Its description in RNAcentral is "tRNA-Ile". It matches the Rfam family "tRNA". From Rfam's summary of the family: Transfer RNA (tRNA) molecules are approximately 80 nucleotides in length. Their secondary structure includes four short double-helical elements and three loops (D, anti-codon, and T loops). Further hydrogen bonds mediate the characteristic L-shaped molecular structure. tRNAs have two regions of fundamental functional importance: the anti-codon, which is responsible for specific mRNA codon recognition, and the 3' end, to which the tRNAs corresponding amino acid is attached (by aminoacyl-tRNA synthetases). tRNAs cope with the degeneracy of the genetic code in two manners: having more than one tRNA (with a specific anti-codon) for a particular amino acid; and 'wobble' base-pairing, i.e. permitting non-standard base-pairing at the 3rd anti-codon position. Lineage: Archaea; Thermoproteati; Candidatus Bathyarchaeota. The record is from RNAcentral.